AUUUCUAUGACCCUAGUGUCUAUCCUGCUCUACAGGGUAAGAAAAUCAAUCAAUUAAUCAAUCAGUCAAUCAACCAAUCAAAUUCCUAAAUUACAGGGUGCCUCAUCUGAAAAAAAAGAAAAUAAAAGUAAAAUGAAGUCUAGUAAUGUCUGAAGUAUUGUGUAAGAACUGUGCUUGCGGCUAGGAGAAGCAAGCACACUAUAAAAUGCUAUUGCCUCCAUCACCCCCUCUCCUGAAAUGAUUAAAAAGUUCCCAGCCCCAAUUUUGCCUGUGCACAAUAGUCACACACAUACACACAGAGAAUACUGACUCAACACAUCACUAAUCCACCCCAGGGCAAAUUGGCGUGGGUAGAGAAGCAGGGUUUCCAAAGGAUGCGGAACACUUGCACCGGGAAAAAGACUGGGCCAUCAUUCCCUUUGCGUUCCCAUCUCCUCGGCAGAUUUGUAGAUUCCACCACUAGAGAGAGUUUGGCAGCUUCACAAUGGGGUUGACUGCUCAAGGUCUGACUGCCUCCGGUCUCAAAACCCCUUUCCUUCGCUUCCCACCCGACCCAAAGUCCACCCGCAGCAGGUAGGGCGAGGGCGGUGAUGCCCAAUGACAUCUGCCGCUUUCAGUUCUGCCCCGCAUCGGCACGAAUCCACGCGAGCUACCACGGUCACAGCCCGCCCGUCCGCCCCGCCACACCGACAGUGGCGCAGGGGGCCAGGGCGUCGGGUUCCCAGGCGGCCUUGUCCCCCGGACCGUCGGUGAGAUAAGGCCUCGGGGACUCGCCGGGAGGUGCUAUCUGUCCUGGGCAGUCACGCUCCACGCACGGCGUGGGCACAAGGCCAACAGCGCAGCAGGCCGGCACAAAAGGUUGCAGACGAAGCCGCCGUCCCUGUGCAACCUACCGGUAGCCCAGGGCUCCUCCGCCUCCGCUGGGCCCGGACCCGCGGAGCCAGACACAAGGGCGGGAGAGGCGAAGGGCUGCAGCGCCGGGAUCCAAGCGGAGGCCGCCAGCGGAACCAGCCGGGUACCCUCUGCUCUCCCACCGCGCUCGGCACCGGCUACCGCCCGGCGUAAUCCCCGCCUCCUCCGCCGCCGCCCGCCUUCCCGCCCUCCUCCCUCUGGCUGCAGAGGCGCAGCCCGUCAGCGCUAAGCCCGCCUCCCGCGCCCAGCUCAGACGCCGGGGGGAGGGCGGGCAGGCGGGCCAGAGAAAGGCGCAGAAAGGCCUGAAGAAGUUGGGGGUAGGGUGCUGCUGAUUGGGGAGAGGAGGAGCCGUAAUACCCCCUAACCAGCUCCAACCCCACACUCCCAUUAAAUAGCUGCCUGCGAGCACUCUGUCUUCCACGUUGAGUGGUGUGCUAUUUGUCAUUUGUGAGUCUCUGCUUAAAAGACUCAGCACCGAGAAGAAUCAGUAAAGACGGG
Molecule: long non-coding RNA, 1410 nt
Filed under: Dasypus novemcinctus (nine-banded armadillo)
Lineage: Eukaryota; Metazoa; Chordata; Mammalia; Cingulata; Dasypodidae
Description: lncRNA (ENSDNOG00000051349.1)
Source: RNAcentral